This is a long non-coding RNA of Cyprinus carpio carpio, 552 nucleotides long. The record is from Ensembl. NCBI's taxonomy places the organism in Eukaryota, Metazoa, Chordata, Actinopteri, Cypriniformes, Cyprinidae.
CCCAGCUCUGGAUAUAUGUUAAUCUAAAACAUUACAACUAAGAGAGGGCCCUGAAGCCUCUCCAGUGUUUGUUUUGUGAAGGGCAGGAUAAAUGCUCACUAAUCACUGACAGCAAGAGUGUGCAUUUGCUUUGUCUGAUUUUCCAGUUGUAUGAUCAUCCAUCAUGGCACCUGCCAAAAUGGAGUGCGCUGGGGCCUUGACCACACUGUUUUAGAGAAGGGCCACGUGUCCCGGCCACCCACUGAAGGGGCAACAACACCCUAGAGAGAGCGGAGCAGGGAAUGGGGGCAACAGCUUACUGUGGUCUGGGAAGCAGAGUGAAGCCGAACAGUUCACACAGUACACAAAGAGACAAUUAUGGAUCGCACUGGAUGGAGGGACAGCGGGAGAGAGGAGAGCGAGCGAGAGAUAAUAGAGGCUUGUCUAUCCCUGAUGGGAUGGAGAUAUUCUCCUUAAGUGUCACCCUCUUCUCACUGUAUCCAAGACUAGCAGUCAAUGUGUCCAUUAAGCAGCGUGAAUGAAUACAUGCCCACAAGCACAAGAUCGCAUUCA